RNAcentral lists this transfer RNA (85 nucleotides) under Paracoccaceae bacterium. RNAcentral's name for it is "Rhodobacteraceae bacterium tRNA-Leu". It matches the Rfam family "tRNA". Rfam says of the family: Transfer RNA (tRNA) molecules are approximately 80 nucleotides in length. Their secondary structure includes four short double-helical elements and three loops (D, anti-codon, and T loops). Further hydrogen bonds mediate the characteristic L-shaped molecular structure. tRNAs have two regions of fundamental functional importance: the anti-codon, which is responsible for specific mRNA codon recognition, and the 3' end, to which the tRNAs corresponding amino acid is attached (by aminoacyl-tRNA synthetases). tRNAs cope with the degeneracy of the genetic code in two manners: having more than one tRNA (with a specific anti-codon) for a particular amino acid; and 'wobble' base-pairing, i.e. permitting non-standard base-pairing at the 3rd anti-codon position. Lineage: Bacteria; Pseudomonadati; Pseudomonadota; Alphaproteobacteria; Rhodobacterales; Paracoccaceae. The record is from RNAcentral.
GCGGGUGUGGCGAAAUUGGUAGACGCACCAGAUUUAGGUUCUGGCGCCUUACGGCGUGGGGGUUCAAGUCCCUUCACCCGCACCA